Dermochelys coriacea (leatherback sea turtle) is the source of this 3569-nucleotide long non-coding RNA. RefSeq lists it as uncharacterized. The transcript has 2 exons. NCBI's taxonomy places the organism in Eukaryota, Metazoa, Chordata, Testudines, Dermochelyidae. The record is from RefSeq and is a predicted model, not a curated record.
AUUGGCUCCUUAUAAGGCUUUAUUAAUAAUGCUUGAGUGAUAAAAAAUUAAGGAAAUGUAUCAUUUGACUGAAAUGUAAACAACUAUAUAAGACUGGUAUUAGAGGAGCAGGACAGAGGGAGACCAAGGUGGCACCUGUGUGUGACCAUCUCUGUCUCCUUCUCCCUGCAUGCUUGUAUUCAAAAAUAAAAGGACCUCAGACUGUUUGAACCAAACAGAUGGUGUGACUCAUUUUCCACAACAAUUUGGGGACUCGUCUGGGAUCCACCGUAUACCAUCCAUGACUAGAGGACCACAUGCUGUUUCCCUCCGAACCCAGGGCAUCAUGUAAAAGGUCUCUUUAUACACAGGUAAAAGAAGCACUAUCCAAGAAUCCUGAGCAACCCUGCCACUUGCUCGGACCAAAAAAGACUGGGUCUAUAUAAAGGUCCAUCAGAGAAAGACUGCCCUGGCCCUGCACUGGAGAAGCCCUUACCAAGUCCUGUUAAUUACCAACAUAGCUGUGGGGUGCCGGGGACUGACUGCCAUCCCUCCACCUCAGGAUGAUCCUCUGACUGAUGCUACUGUUCCUUCUGGACAGCAGGAGAAAAGAACAAGGUGAAGUGCUAGUAACCUCUCUCUUAUCCACUGACAGAACUACUGUGCAUUUGGACUUUGCUAGAAGAACCAAACCAUUACAGGGUGAUGUGCUAGUAACCUCUCCCCUGCAUAAUGCUAAACCACGGCUGUUCCAAGAAAAAAGAAGGAACACUCGCUCUUCUAAAACCACCGAUGUCCAGGGAUUCCUGACCACAAAAGACAUUAAGAAUUGGCCCUAGUGGAAAAGACUAAGUAUUGCUAAUUGGCAGGGAGGGAAUUGUGGGGACCGCGCUUGGAAAUGUGAAGUUAAGUGGUGGGGUGUUUUUUUUUCCAGGGGCUGGGCUCUGUGCUUACUAACAAGUACCAUCAAAAUGCACUGUCCUCCCUAACUGGCUUCCAGAGGAUAAAUACCAAAACCACCUUGUUGCCACAAACAUUACUCCCACCAUUCCCGCCACCUCUGUCACCACCCCUAAAAUUUACCCGAAUACAGAUAAUACUAUAUAUUCUAAUGAAACCCAAUGGCCCAGGCCUUCAAAUGGGUCAGUGAAAAUAAAAAUAUAUAUUACCUCAAAUGAGCCCCAGGAAUCAGAAAUUGAGAUUAAUGGGUUCUAUGACAAGGUAAAUAUGUCGUCCGCUCCUGAACGCCGCAGUGUAUUGGAUGAAGUAGACCCUUACUGUUAUUUGAUCACUCAACUGGUGAAUAAUCAACCAAAUACCAAAAAAAAUGAAAAUAAAAAGUUUGUUCUGCUACUGAAAAGCUGGCUUGUACUGAAAGUGUCCCAACAACUAAUAAUUUAAAUGGUACCAUAUUGCAGUACACCCCGUCCUAUGCUAUUGAUGCUGAGGCCUCUCAAAAGUAUAUAAGGGUGUUCAGCCAUCAAAUGUGGUAUAAUACUUCAUCAAAGAGAAAUGGGUUGGAGUUUCAAUGGACUGUAAUUAAUGCUACACUAGGGAUUUGCAAAAUUUACACUCCCCUUAUCUAGUUUUCAGAUUACCUCUAUGUAUCCUAACUGUUCAAAAGGAGCUGCCAUUUGGUUGGCACAGCAAUAGACCUAAGUUUCCACUAGCAAGAAAAGGGAUUUGGCUGGACACCUAUGGGAUGGUGCAAAUAGCAUAGCUGCAAUCUGGAAUAUCCGUAAAGGUCAACAACAUGAGGAAAAAAUUGGGACAGUUGGAAAAAGCCAUGGGCCUUAUUACUGGAGCACAGCUAGCCCAGGUUCAGGCUGGUGUUGGUAAAUUAUACAUUAUCUCAGCCCUUAGUUCAAUGACCCAAAAGCUGUUAACAGAGAUGGUACUGGGUAUCACCAAUGCUGGAAAGGCAUUGCAGUGGGAUCAGGCUUGUUCAGAGGUUCAGGAUUUUCUGAAUGACCAGUUCACAGCCAUUCAGAGGGAUCUUGAACAUCAGGCGUGGCCCUCUGCCAUUACUGUCACCUCGGGAGUACCAUCUGAUCUGUGUGAAAGACACACUUGGAGACUUUCUAAGUGGAAAUGCAGAUGUUUUCAGUGCUCCUUCCGAGCGUACGGGCCGGUUGGAGGGGUAUGGGCUCCCACCUACCGAACCCUGCCAGGUCCAUAAAGGGUGCAUAUGGGACUGGAUAAUUCACCGAGACAUUUGGGAACUUGAACUACCUGGUAUGCCCAACUGAUUUUUAGUCAGUGCUCCUGGAAUAACGCCCAACAUUUGGAUAGGGAUUAGAAGCCAAUGGACAUUCUGGCCAUUAGAACCCUCUCAACUUCGGUGUGCACGUAAACUAAAACCAGGAGAGGUUGUCACUGUUCAUGACAACAUUUGUUGGGAGGAUAUGGGACGUGGGACUACCCUGACAGGACACCUACUUUUCCAAGUUAAUAAUAUCUGUGUGCAUGUUAAGACCACUACCUUGAAUGAUGUACACUUUAAUCUCACUACAGCUGCAGGCAAUCAUAUCAUUCAUUGGCCCGCAGAUGAUACAAUUUUACAAUUAGCCCUUAGGUACCAUACCCUUUAACUAGACUACUUUAGUACCUGACCAAUUCCAAAAUUUGCUUUCAAUCCUACCAGAGGUUAAAAAAAUCCUGAUUUACAAGAAAAAAUUCAUAUGCUCCAAAAAUAUAUCAAAUUAAGAAGCAUGCUUUCCAUACAGCCUAUAAAGUGUCUGCUUUAUGUACUAAGUAUAAUGUAUUGUGUUCUGUGACUAAGGCUAUACAACAACCCCAUCAUAUUGUUACAAUGGAAUGUUAAUGCUUUUAGUGUUGUUUAGUUAGGAUUAUGUUAUCGUUAUUGUAAAGGAUGUAAUAAAACUAGCACCUUCCAUAUUCAUCCUAACCAUGCAUUGUUGUAGCAUUCAGCUAAACCCCCAAAGGCUAAGCCAUUUAAUUUAAAAUAAAAAAAUACAAGAUUUGAUAAAAAUGAAGGUUUAAAACUAAUAGUUGUGCUAAAGCACAAAAUGGGGGAAUUGUGGGGGAAAAUAUUGUUGACCUGACUCUAUCCCACUUUGUGACAAGACCUAUGCACUAUAUGCAGCAUAGGCAAGAGCAGUAACGCAAGAGACCUACAGGCCUGCAUCCUGUAAGACUUAGCUUAAACUAAGAGCAUAUGCUGGGCCAUGGUAUUUUGACACAGAUAACAAAACUAGGCCAACCUUUUACCUAGCUCAAGACCCUAUCUGUCUAUUAUGUACAACCCCCCACAAACCUGCAAAAGCCCCUAGACAAAACGCUGCCACAAACAAACCGCAGAUCUUGAUAAUAACAAAGUGCGUCAGCAUAAUGCUAAUUAUAAAGCUGUUUACCUUGGCUCCUUAUAAGGCUUUAUUAACAAUGCUUGAGUGAUAAAAAAAAUUAAGGAAAUGCAUCAUUUGACUGAAAUAUAAAAAACUAUAUAAGACUGGUAUUAUGGGGCAGGACAGAGGGAGACCAGGGUGGUACCUGUGUGUGACCAUCUCUGUCUCCUUCUCCCUGCAUGCUUGUAUUCAAAAAUAAAAGGACCUCAGACUGUUUGAACCAAA